Molecule: ribosomal RNA, 175 nt
Filed under: uncultured bacterium
Lineage: Bacteria
Description: partial 16S ribosomal RNA
Rfam family: Bacterial small subunit ribosomal RNA
Source: RNAcentral
GGCACGGGGGGCCUACGGGAGGCAGCAGUGAGGAAUAUUGGACAAUGGGCGCAAGCCUGAUCCAGCCAUGCCGCGUGCAGGAAGAAGCAUCUAUGGUGUGUAAAUCUGCUUUUGUACGGGAAGAAACACUUCCUUACGUGAAGGAGCUGUACGGACCCGUAAGAAUAAGAUCGGC